Molecule: transfer RNA, 72 nt
Filed under: Nitrospinaceae bacterium
Lineage: Bacteria; Pseudomonadati; Nitrospinota; Nitrospinia; Nitrospinales; Nitrospinaceae
Description: tRNA-Asp
Rfam family: tRNA
About the family: Transfer RNA (tRNA) molecules are approximately 80 nucleotides in length. Their secondary structure includes four short double-helical elements and three loops (D, anti-codon, and T loops).
Source: RNAcentral
AGUAGUUCAGUUGGUUAGAAUGCCGGCCUGUCACGCCGGAGGUCGCGAGUUCGAGUCUCGUCGGCCCCGCCA